UAGUGGGGAUAACGUAGACGAAGUUACGCUAAUACCGCAUACGAUCCACGGAUGAAAGCAGGGGACCUUCGGGCCUUGUGCUAUACGAGCGGCCGAUGUCUGAUUAGCUAGUUGGUGAGGUAAAGGCUCACCAAGGCGACGAUCAGUAGCGGGUCUGAGAGGAUGAUCCGCCACACUGGGACUGAGACACGGCCCAGACUCCUACGGGAGGCAGCAGUGGGGAAUUUUGGACAAUGGGCGCAAGCCUUAUCCAGCCAUGCCGCGUGUCUGAAGAAGGCCUUCGGGUUGUAAAGGACUUUUGUCAGGGAGCAAAACUUACUGGUUAAUACCUGGUGAGGUUGAGAGUACCUGAAGAAUAAGCACCGGCUAACUACGUGCCAGCAGCCGCGGUAAUACGUAGGGUGCAAGCGUUAAUCGGAAUUACUGGGCGUAAAGCGUGCGCAGGCGGACUUUUAAGCCAGAUGUGAAAGCCCCGAGCUUAACUUGGGAAUUGCGUUUGGAACUGGGAGUCUAGAGUCUGUCAGAGGGGG
RNAcentral lists this ribosomal RNA (530 nucleotides) under uncultured bacterium. RNAcentral's name for it is "bacterial SSU rRNA". It matches the Rfam family "Bacterial small subunit ribosomal RNA", at positions 134 to 660 of the family's 1533-position model. The record is from RNAcentral.